CGACCGGCGCACGGGUGAGUAACACGUAUGCAACCUGGCCCUCUUCAGGGGGACAACCUUCCGAAAGGGAGGCUAAUCCCGCGUAUAUCGGUUUCGGGCAUCCGAGAUCGAGGAAAGAUUCAUCGGAAGAGGAUGGGCAUGCGGCGCAUUAGCUAGACGGCGGGGUAACGGCUCACCGUGGCGACGAUGCGUAGGGGUUCUGAGAGGAAGGUCCCCCACACUGGUACUGAGACACGGACCAGACUCCUACGGGAGGCAGCAG
This 262-nucleotide ribosomal RNA is filed under the name uncultured bacterium. RNAcentral's name for it is "partial 16S ribosomal RNA". It matches the Rfam family "Bacterial small subunit ribosomal RNA", at positions 92 to 354 of the family's 1533-position model. The record is from RNAcentral.